This 515-nucleotide ribosomal RNA is filed under the name Haliichthys taeniophorus. RNAcentral's name for it is "partial 12S ribosomal RNA". It matches the Rfam family "Bacterial small subunit ribosomal RNA", at positions 782 to 1526 of the family's 1533-position model. Lineage: Eukaryota; Metazoa; Chordata; Actinopteri; Syngnathiformes; Syngnathidae. The record is from RNAcentral.
AUACCCCACUAUGCACAGCCGUAAACAUUGAUGUGACUAUACCCUACAUCCGCCAGGGAACUACAAACAUUAGUUUAAAACCCAAAGGACUUGGCGGUGCUUUAGAACCCCCUAGAGGAGCCUGUUCUGGAACUGAUAACCCCCGUUAAACCUCACCCUCUCUUGCUAAUAACCGCCUAUAUACCGCCGUCGUCAGCUUACCCUGUGAAGGUAUGAUAGUGAGCAAGAUUAGUACAACUCAAAACGCCAGGUCGAGGUGUAGUAUAUGGGAGGGGAAGAAAUGGGCUACAUUCGUGUACUCACGAACUACGAACAACUUAUUGAAAUGUAAGUUUGAAGGUGGAUUUAGCAGUAAGGGGGAAAUAGAGAGUCCCCUUGAAACUGGCCCUGAAGCGCGCACACACCGCCCGUCACUCUCCCUUAAACACAAUUAAAACCUUAAAUAAAGCAAAUAAUAAAUAAAGGGGAGGCAAGUCGUAACAUGGUAAGUGUACCGGAAGGUGUACUUGGAAUAC